Molecule: ribosomal RNA, 253 nt
Filed under: uncultured bacterium
Lineage: Bacteria
Description: partial 16S ribosomal RNA
Rfam family: Bacterial small subunit ribosomal RNA
Source: RNAcentral
UACGUAGGGUGCGAGCGUUGCCCGGAUUUACUGGGCGUAAAGAGCGCGCAGGCGGUCGUUCAAGUCGCGUGUGAAAGCCCCCGGCUCAACUGGGGAGGGUCACGCGAUACUGAUCGACUCGAAGGCAGGAGAGGGUAGUGGAAUUCCCGGUGUAGUGGUGAAAUGCGUAGAUAUCGGGAGGAACACCAGUGGCGAAGGCGACUUCCUGGCCUGUUCUUGACGCUGAGGCGCGAAAGCUAGGGGAGCAAACGGG